UGGGGAAUUUUGGACAAUGGGCGCAAGCCUGAUCCAGCCAUGCCGCGUGCAGGAUGAAGGCCUUCGGGUUGUAAACUGCUUUUGUACGGAACGAAAAGGUGCCUUCUAAUAAAGGGCGCUCAUGGCGGUACCGUAAGAAUAAGCACCGGCUAACUACGUGCCAGCAGCCGCGGUAAUACGUAGGGUGCGAGCGUUAAUCGGAAUUACUGGGCGUAAAGCGUGCGCAGGCGGUUUUGUAAGACAGAUGUGGAAUCCCCGGGCUUAACCUGGGAACUGCGUUUGUGACUGCAAGGCUGGAGUACGGCAGAGGGGGGUGGAAUUCCACGUGUAGCAGUGAAAUGCGUAGAGAUGUGGAGGAACACCGAUGGCGAAGGCAGCCCCCUGGGCCUGUACUGACGCUCAUGCACGAAAGCGUGGGGAGCAAACA
This 427-nucleotide ribosomal RNA is filed under the name uncultured bacterium. RNAcentral describes it as "bacterial SSU rRNA". It matches the Rfam family "Bacterial small subunit ribosomal RNA", at positions 355 to 774 of the family's 1533-position model. The record is from RNAcentral.